RNAcentral lists this ribosomal RNA (497 nucleotides) under uncultured bacterium. RNAcentral describes it as "partial 16S ribosomal RNA". It matches the Rfam family "Bacterial small subunit ribosomal RNA", at positions 28 to 506 of the family's 1533-position model. The record is from RNAcentral.
GAUGAACGCUGGCGGCGUGCCUAAUACAUGCAAGUCGAGCGAACGGACGAGAAGCUUGCUUCUCUGAUGUUAGCGGCGGACGGGUGAGUAACACGUGGAUAACCUACCUAUAAGACUGGGAUAAAUUCGGGAAACCGGAGCUAAUACCGGAUAAUAUUUUGAACCGCAUGGUUCAAAAGUGAAAGACGGUCUUGCUGUCACUUAUAGAUGGAUCCGCGCUGCAUUAGCUAGUUGGUAAGGUAACGGCUUACCAAGGCAACGAUGCAUAGCCGACCUGAGAGGGUGAUUGGCCAAACUGGGACCGAGACACGGGCCAGACUUCUUCGGGAGGGCAGAGGUGGGAAAUUUUCCGAAUGGGGCGAAGGCUGACGGGGGAAAGGCGGGGGAGGGAAUGAGGUCUUUCGGUCGUAAAACUUUUGUAUUUGGGAAGGACAAUAGUUGUAGUUACUGGGCACAAUUUGGCGGGAACUUAACAAAAAAGCCCGGGUUAAUUCCGG